This 63-nucleotide microRNA precursor is filed under the name Caenorhabditis elegans. Its description in RNAcentral is "Cel-Mir-36-P2_pre stem-loop". The record is from RNAcentral. Lineage: Eukaryota; Metazoa; Nematoda; Chromadorea; Rhabditida; Rhabditidae.
CGCCAAUUUUCGCUUCAGUGCUAGACCAUCCAAAGUGUCUAUCACCGGGUGAAAAUUCGCAUG